GUGAGGAAUAUUGGACAAUGGGCGCAAGCCUGAUCCAGCCAUGCCGCGUGAGUGAUGAAGGCCUUCGGGUUGUAAAGCUCUUUAGCCGAUGAUUAUAAUGACUGUAGUCGGAAAAUAAGCCCCGGCUAACUUCGUGCCAGCAGCCGCGGUAAUACGAAGGGGGCGAGCGUUAUUCGGAAUCACUGGGCGUAAAGCGUGCGUAGGCUGUUUUGUAAGUCAGAAGUGAAAGCCCAGGGCUUAACCCUGGAAUUGCUGUUGAAACUACAAGACUCGAAUUCGGGAGAGGAUAGCGGAAUUGUCAGUGUAGCAGUGAAAUGCGUAGAUAUUGACAGGAACACCAGUGGCGCAAGCGGCUAUCUGGACCGAUAUUGACGCUGAGGCACGAAAGCGUGGGGAGCAAACAGGAUUAGAUACCCUUGUAGUCC
RNAcentral lists this ribosomal RNA (425 nucleotides) under uncultured bacterium. Its description in RNAcentral is "bacterial SSU rRNA". It matches the Rfam family "Bacterial small subunit ribosomal RNA", at positions 354 to 796 of the family's 1533-position model. The record is from RNAcentral.